GGCGAACGGGUGAGUAACGCGUUGGUGACCUGUCCCAAAGUGUGGGAUAACAGUCCGAAAGGAUUGCUAAUACCGCAUGUGGUCCCCGGGUUUAGAAACCGGUGACUAAAGGAGCAAUUCGCUUUGGGAGGGACCUGCGUCCCAUCAGCUAGUUGGUGAGGUAACGGCUCACCAAGGCGACGACGGGUAGGGGACCUGAGAGGGUGGCCCCCCACAAUGGAACUGAAACACGGUCCAUACACCUACGGGUGGCAGCAGUAGGGAAUAUUGCACAAUGGGCGAAAGCCUGAUGCAGCAACGCCGCGUGCACGAUGAAGGCCUUCGGGUCGUAAAGUGCUUUUCUGCGAGAUGAGAAAGGACAGUAUCGUAGGAAUAAGUCUCGGCUAACUACGUGCCAGCAGCCGCGGUAAAACGUAGGAGGCGAGCGUUAUCCGGAUCCACUGGGCGUAAAGCGCGUGCAGGUGGUUCGGUAAGUUGGGCGUGAAAUCUCCCGGCUCAGCUGGGAGAGGUCGUCCAAUACUACCGAACUUGAGAGCAGAAGAGGAAGAUGGAAUUCCCGGUGUAGUGGUGAAAUGCGUAGAUAUCGGGAGGAACACCAGUGGCGAAGGCGAUCUUCUGGUCUGUUUCUGACGCUCAGGCGCGAAAGCGUGGGGAGCAAACAGGAUUAGAUACCCUGGUAGUCCACGCUGUAAACGAUGUUCACUAGGUGUUGGGGGUAUUGACCCAUCUCAGUGCCGUAGCUAACGCAUUAAGUGAACCCGCCUGGGAAGUACGGUCGCAAGA
This 783-nucleotide ribosomal RNA is filed under the name uncultured bacterium. Its description in RNAcentral is "bacterial SSU rRNA". It matches the Rfam family "Bacterial small subunit ribosomal RNA", at positions 97 to 893 of the family's 1533-position model. The record is from RNAcentral.